AGACGCUAGCGAUAGGCUUAACACAUGCAAGUCGAGGGGCAUCACGAAUUAGCAAUAGUUUGGUGGCGACCGGCGCACGGGUGCGUAACACGUAUACAACCUACCUUCAAUUGGGGAAUAACCUGGAGAAAUUUGGACUAAUACCCCAUAGUAAACGGAAGAGGCAUCUUUUUUGUUUUAAAGAUUUAUUGAUUGGAGAUGGGUAUGCGUAGGAUUAGCUAGUUGGUAAGGUAACGGCUUACCAAGGCGACGAUCCUUAGGGGUUCUGAGAGGAAGGUCCCCCACACUGGUACUGAGACACGGACCAGACUCCUACGGGAGGCAGCAGUGAGGAAUAUUGGUCAAUGGUCGAGAGACUGAACCAGCCAAGUCGCGUGAAGGAAGACGGCUCUAUGAGUUGUAAACUUCUUUUGUACAGGAGUAAAGUGAGACACGCGUGUUUUAUUGCAAGUACUGUACGAAUAAGCAUCGGCUAACUCCGUGCCAGCAGCCGCGGUAAUACGGAGGAUGCAAGCGUUAUCCGGAUUUAUUGGGUUUAAAGGGUGCGUAGGCGGUAUUACAAGUCAGGGGUGAAAUCUUGGUGCUUAACAUUAAAAUUGCCUUUGAAACUGUGGUACUUGAGUGUAAAAGAGGUAGGCGGAAUGUGUUGUGUAGCGGUGAAAUGCAUAGAUAUAACACAGAACCCCGAUUGCGAAGGCAGCUUACUAUCAUACAACUGACGCUGAUGCACGAAAGCGUGGGGAUCAAACAGGAUUAGAUACCCUGGUAGUCCACGCAGUAAACGAUGAUUACUAGCUGUUAGCGAUAUAUUGUUAGUGGCUAAGCGAAAGCGAUAAGUAAUCCACCUGGGGAGUACGUUCGCAAGAAUGAAACUCAAAGGAAUUGACGGGGGCCCGCACAAGCGGAGGAA
This 910-nucleotide ribosomal RNA is filed under the name uncultured bacterium. RNAcentral describes it as "bacterial SSU rRNA". It matches the Rfam family "Bacterial small subunit ribosomal RNA", at positions 31 to 937 of the family's 1533-position model. The record is from RNAcentral.